GUGGGGAAUUUUGGGCAAUGGGCGCAAGCCUGACCCAGCCACGCCGCGUGAGUGAUGAAGGCCUUCGGGUUGUAAAGCUCUGUCGGGAGGAACGAAACCACCGGGGUCACGCCCGGGACUGACGGUACCUCCAAAGGAAGCACCGGCUAACUCUGUGCCAGCAGCCGCGGUAAUACAGAGGGUGCAAGCGUUGUUCGGAAUUACUGGGCGUAAAGCGCGUGUAGGCGGUCCGCAUAGUCGAAUGUGAAAGCCCUUGGCCUAACCAAGGAAGUGCAUUCGAUACUGGUGGACUUGAGUACCGGAUGGGAUGGCGGAAUUCCCGGUGUAGAGGUGAAAUUCGUAGAUAUCGGGAGGAACACCUGCGGCGAAGGCGGCCAUCUGGACGAGUACUGACGCUGAGACGCGAAAGCGUGGGGAGCAAACAGGAUUAGAAACCCUUGUAGUCC
This 446-nucleotide ribosomal RNA is filed under the name uncultured bacterium. Its description in RNAcentral is "bacterial SSU rRNA". It matches the Rfam family "Bacterial small subunit ribosomal RNA", at positions 354 to 796 of the family's 1533-position model. The record is from RNAcentral.